GUAGAAGGAGGGACGAUGCUAAUGAGGAGGGACGCGCCGGCCGGGGACAGUGAGCAGCAGCGCUCCCACCGACCCUGCGGCGGCGUGCUCUCCUGACGGACGCGCACUGGAUGCUCCACGUCGCCUGGAAGACGCCUCUUCUGAUUUAAAACGCACCGGAAAAAGCACUUUGCGCGAGUUUGGACUGAGAAGAAGUGAAAUGCACUGCUAGGAAAAGUUUGUGUUGACUUCAAAUGGGCUGAGAUCGGAUGCAGAUUGUAGCGAGGAGGGGAGAAAAAAAAAAUCCGAUUUUCCUGAAGACGCAAAGAAGUUCGCGGGACGUCCGAUCAGCAUGGAGGAGCGCGAUUAAAACCAGUUUAAGGUGUUUUUUUUGUUGUUGGUCUAAACUUGUAUUUAACCUCAAUUUAAAGGAAUGGACAGUUAAACUCUGCCUAAAAGAAGAAGAAGAAGAAUAGCAUCCAUGGAUUGAGAAAGUGGACCUCCAGCGAACGACUGCGAGAUGUGUGGAGGAGAGUGACGGACGGCCAUGGGACUGGAGAGACGGUGGCUUCAGGCUGUCACCACUGCUGUAGCCAUCUGUCUGCUAAGUGUGUCUCGGGGUUCGGCAUCGCUGGUCCGUGC
This is a long non-coding RNA of Fundulus heteroclitus (mummichog), 621 nucleotides long. RefSeq lists it as uncharacterized. The record is from RefSeq and is a predicted model, not a curated record. Lineage: Eukaryota; Metazoa; Chordata; Actinopteri; Cyprinodontiformes; Fundulidae. The transcript is spliced from 3 exons.